This 776-nucleotide ribosomal RNA is filed under the name uncultured organism. Its description in RNAcentral is "bacterial SSU rRNA". It matches the Rfam family "Bacterial small subunit ribosomal RNA", at positions 544 to 1336 of the family's 1533-position model. The record is from RNAcentral.
UCCGGAUUUACUGGGCGUAAAGCGUCUGUAGGGGGUUUAUUAAGUUCCAAGUAAAAUUUCAAGGCUCAACUUUGAAUUCGCUUGGAAAACUAAUAAACUGGAGUCUAGCAGAGGUGCAUGGAACUUGUGGUGUAGGAGUGAAAUCCGUUGAUAUCACAAGGAACACCAAAGGCGAAGGCAUUGCACUGGGCUAGCACUGACCCUGAGAGACGAAAGCGUGGGGAGCAAAACGGAUUAGAUACCCGUGUAGUCCACGCCCUAAACGAUGAAUGCUAAAUGUUCGGGGAUUCGACCCCCUGGGUGUUACAGCUAACGCGUUAAGCAUUCCGCCUGGGAAGUACGGCCGCAAGGCUAAAACUCAAAGGAAUAGACGGGGAUCCGCACAAGCGGUGGAGCGUCUGGUUUAAUUCGACAGUAAGCGUGGUACCUCACCAGGGUUUGACAUCCCUUGACAGCCUUGGAAACAAGGUUUCCUUCGGGCAAGGUGACAGGUGCUGCAUGGUCGUCGUCAGUUCGUGCCGUGAGGUGUUCCGUUAAGUCGGGAAACGAACGAAACCCCUAUUGCAUGUUACAAUUUCUCAUGCAAGACUGCCCGGAUAUACUGGGAGGAAGGUGGGGAUGACGUCAGAUCUGCAUGGUCCUUAUACCCUGGGCGACACAGGCGCUACAAUGGCAGAGACAAAGGGUUGCAAAACCGCAAGGUGAAGCUAAUCCCAAAAACUUUGUCUAAGUUCGGAUUGAAGGCUGCAAUUCGCCUUCAUGAAGCUGGAAUCGCU